UGCGUAGGCGGCCAGAUCAGUCAGGCGUGAAAGUUUUCGGCUUAACCGGAAAAUUGCGUUUGAUACUGUUUGGCUAGAAUCAGGAUGAGGUUGGCGGAAUGUGGCAUGUAGCGGUGAAAUGCAUAGAUAUGCCAUAGAACACCGACUGCGAAGGCAGCUGGCUGGACCUGAAUUGACGCUGAGGCACGAAAGCGUGGGGAGCAAACAGGAUUAGAUACCCUGGUAGUCC
Molecule: ribosomal RNA, 229 nt
Filed under: uncultured bacterium
Lineage: Bacteria
Description: partial 16S ribosomal RNA
Rfam family: Bacterial small subunit ribosomal RNA
Source: RNAcentral